RNAcentral lists this ribosomal RNA (512 nucleotides) under uncultured bacterium. Its description in RNAcentral is "partial 16S ribosomal RNA". It matches the Rfam family "Bacterial small subunit ribosomal RNA", at positions 28 to 523 of the family's 1533-position model. The record is from RNAcentral.
GACGAACGCUGGCGGCGUGCCUAAUACAUGCAAGUCGAGCGGAUUGAUGGGAGCUUGCUCCCUGAUAUCAGCGGCGGACGGGUGAGUAACACGUGGGCAACCUGCCUAUAAGACUGGGAUAACUUCGGGAAACCGGAGCUAAUACCGGAUAAUCCCUUUCCUCUCAUGAGGAAAGGCUGAAAGAUGGUUUACGCUAUCACUUAUAGAUGGGCCCGCGGCGCAUUAGCUAGUUGGUGAGGUAACGGCUCACCAAGGCAACGAUGCGUAGCCGACCUGGGAGGGUGAUCGGCCAAACUGGGACUGAGACACGGCCCAGACUCCGACGGGAGGCAGCAGUAGGGAAUCUUCCGCAAUGGACGAAAGUCUGACGGAGCAACGCCGCGUGAGUGAUGAAGGUUUUCGGAUCGUAAAACUCUGUUGUUAGGGAAGAACAAGUACGAGAGUAACUGCUCGUACCUUGACGGUACCUAACCAGAAAGCCACGGCUAACUACGUGCCAGCCGCCGCGGUAA